UCCUGCGGCCUCUCGGUCGGAGGCGGUCUGCGUUCUGGCGUCCCGAGACCCCGACCUUUUCCGAGGUUGCUCUGGGGCCGCCGUAUUCCCUGUGCAAUCUGUCAGUUGGGUUAUAUUUUAAUGAAAGAGCUUGUAUGGCCGAAAGGGGCUGUGGAUAGCCGAACUAAUUCCCGCCUCUGGGAGGGAGUUGCCGGAUGGCCCGACACUCAGAAGCCACAUGACAGAAACGGCAUGAACGUUACGCGACUCGAGCCCGAAGCCGCUCAGGUGGCAUUUCCUGUCUAGAGCGCUUGUCAGCUCCCUCUGCAGACCUGCCUUUCUGCCACCCUUACCUCGCUCUUUGCUAAACCAGCCUUCAGAGGCCUUCUCCGUCCGGCUGUCCCCGGGCCUCCUUUCCUCUCUCCCUUCGGUGCUAUCAUUUACCCUUCUCUGAAGCCAAAGGAACAGAACACUCCUUAGACGUCGCAGGAGGAUCUUGUUUCCACCGCAUUUCCAUUUAGUGAUCAGAGAGCCACGUCUGCCUUCCCUGCUUCCUGGCUGUUAAUCAAUCAGCUUCCAGAACUACCUGAUGGAAGUUCCAAAUGCAAGACACUGCAGUGGCUCCAGGGCCCCAGGUCACACAGGCCUGGGUGCAAUCCCCAGCCCUCCCUCUCUGUUGGAUGUUGUGUAGUGUGGAACCUAACGGAAGUUAAGACGAUGUGGAAAAGCUGCUUCCUGGAGUCUGCAGACAGGCCUUCCGUGCUGUUCUAAAGGAAGAAAAAUGGAGGCCUUGGAUCUGGUGAACAGUUCUGAGAGGUGGUACUGCCCCUGUUACUUGCCGUGGGAAAUAUUUGGGAGAAGUGAACACCGCACUUCUGCUGAAGGUGCUUCGGUGACUACGUUCAGCGCAGCUCUUGCUGUCCUGGAAGGCCGGGCUGUGUGGCCUCGCGGGCCCUUGAGAUAUGCGGCAUCAGAAAACCUGACACUAGGAAAUCCCCAUCCUGGAUCUGGCUGCACCUCAGGGACACAAAGAGAACAGGAGCAGGAAAUUUAUGGCACUGAGAUGACAUCUGAGGGGUGAUCAUUCUUUUCAAUUCGCAUGGAAGAGAGAAGCCUGAGGGAGAGAGAUUAGAGGCACAUGUUGCUGUUUGUAAUAAAAAUCGCUCCUCUCCCCAUCCUGGUUCUGAAACAACUGAGACAAACCCAAAAGCUUUACUGCUGAUAAAGCCACUAUUGGGGAGUGUGGCCUCGAUUUGUUGUUGCAGGUUCUAGAAGACGGUGGCCAAGCCUUGGGACACAGGGAAGAGAACAGAUGACACAAGAGCUCUGAGGUUCAGGAGCUCAGCGAUCCUACCUGCUUCAUCCCCAACCAACACUUGGCACCUGCCCUAACGUCUAGGAAAUAGAGGACGUCAACCCCCAUAAAUUCCACUCUGAGACUUGUUAAAAUGGCUUUUGGAUUGCAAGUGAGCUGCUUUGCUUUUUCUUUAUUAAAAAUAAUCUCAAAAUGAAGGCAAGUCUUAGGAAAUGCAUGCCUACCAUCCCAGACUUGCUGCUGGUGGGCCCAGGAAGAGAAACGUGUCCUUAGCCAGUCAGGUGUCUUAGAAGAAGAAAGCCACCUGUAGUGACUGUGACUCUGCCCCCAGGACCCACGUGGUGGUGUUUUAGGUCGUCUCUAGGCACAGGCUUCACAGAGACAGUGAGGAGCGUCAGAGGAGCUGGCGGGUGACAAGGCUGUGGGGCAUCACUAGUCUAGACACAAGACACAAUUGUGCUGCAAGGAAAUGUGAGGAAACCGGAAGCCCCUCUUUUACGCUGAGUGUGUUGAGGGGACAGGGAGAGCAGGGGCGGGGCACCUUCAGAGAGGGGACUGCUCAGGGCACAGUGUCCAGCACAAACGAGAGGACCUUUUCCUCCAACAUCUCUUAAGUGUAAGACCUUGAGCUACCGAAUGACAAUUCCCAAAAUCGAAAGCGCAACCCCGAGACCUGACUCUAUGUACGUGCAGAAUGGAAAGACUGCGUGGCAGGGCCUGGGACUGGCCUGUGUGUUUUCUUCCACGUCCAGACGACUGGCGAGCAGCCCCAGCCAGCAGCGUCGCCGCAGUGCAGGAGCACAGCUGCAGGCACAGCACUUGGGAGCUGAGCAGCGUGAUGCGGCGCGUGUGGAACCCACGCGUGCGAGGUAAUGACGCCACCAACUGAGCACAGGCCCGGCCCGUGGACACUGUUUGUCUGGCUUGCAAAGUGUUUUGAACAACUUUUCCACUCAUUGCUGAUACUUCUAAAUUGGGAAAUUUCAUAUCAAAAUCAGACUUCAAACUUUUCUUGAAAGUGAGAGUGUGGCAGGGCAGGGCCCAUACUCCAGCAUGGCAAGAGCCAUCCACAGAAGCCAAGGGGCAGCGAGGCCACCCUUCCUCUGCAGUGACCACCUUCCUCCAGGCUGGCUGCUUCCCUCCUGUGGCUGAGCUGCCUGCUCUGCUAGCAUUGUGUCUGCUGUGUGGUCCCAAGUGACAUGGCAGCCGUCACAGUUAAUGGCGGGGUUGGCAUCAGCUCCAGCUUGUAGAGUUGUCUUUGGUCUCCACCACAACCCUGUUCCUGAAUCAAGUUGUUGGGGGUCACUUGAGGACCCAGUCUGAAGAAGUGGCUUGGAGUUGCAGAUUGGCCAAGUGACAAUGCCAAUUUUAUAGAAAUUCAUAGGAAAUCUAGUAAACUCCAAACAGCCAAGGGCCAAGUUUAAGUGUAAACUUCAGGGGUUUCAUCUGUCUUGCUCCCCCUGUGGCUCAUUGCCUUACAAAGGGUAGGAGCUCAAUAAAAAUUUGUCAGCUGAUGUGGUCCAUGUCUCAGCCUGAAGCACUGCUCAAGAUGAUAUAAAGAUGAGUUCAUUCCAGAGCGAGUCCAUUGCUCUUCGGUAAGAUCCAGCCGGGCGAGGUAACAUUUAUCACCUGCUGCAGAAAUUUGUAUGCUCUGUUAGCAAAUAGCUUUUUUUUUUUUAAGUGCCAAUGCUCCAGUUUACAUGUCAAAUCUCUAGGAUCCAGACCUCUAAUGCUCAGAUAGUGUAGUCACUACAGAGAACACACAGGACUCCUUCAUGUUCAGUUCAGUCCAAUAAAUAUUUACUGAGCUCCUA
Camelus dromedarius (Arabian camel) is the source of this 3108-nucleotide long non-coding RNA. RefSeq lists it as uncharacterized. The record is from RefSeq and is a predicted model, not a curated record. Lineage: Eukaryota; Metazoa; Chordata; Mammalia; Artiodactyla; Camelidae. The transcript is spliced from 6 exons.